GAUGAACGCUGGCGGCGUGCUUAACACAUGCAAGUCGAACGGAAAGGCCCAAGCUUGCUUGGGUACUCGAGUGGCGAACGGGUGAGUAACACGUGGGUGAUCUGCCCUGCACUUCGGGAUAAGCCUGGGAAACUGGGUCUAAUACCGGAUAGGACCACUUCUUGGAUGUUGUGGUUGAAAGUUUUUUCGGUGUGGGAUGAGCUCGCGGCCUAUCAGCUUGUUGGUGGGGUAAUGGCCUACCAAGGCGUCGACGGGUAGCCGGCCUGAGGGGGUGUACGGCCACAUUGGGACUGAGAUACGGCCCAGACGCCGACGGGAGGCAGAAGUGGGGAAGAUUGCACAAGGGGCGCAAGCCUGAUGCAGCGACGCCGCGUGGGGGAUGACGGCCUUCGGGUUGUAAACUCCUUUCGCUAGGGACGAAGCGUUUUGUGACGGUACCUGGAGAAGAAGCACCGGCUAACUACGUG
RNAcentral lists this ribosomal RNA (467 nucleotides) under uncultured bacterium. Its description in RNAcentral is "partial 16S ribosomal RNA". It matches the Rfam family "Bacterial small subunit ribosomal RNA", at positions 28 to 507 of the family's 1533-position model. The record is from RNAcentral.